This 253-nucleotide ribosomal RNA is filed under the name uncultured bacterium. Its description in RNAcentral is "partial 16S ribosomal RNA". It matches the Rfam family "Bacterial small subunit ribosomal RNA", at positions 524 to 776 of the family's 1533-position model. The record is from RNAcentral.
UACGUAGGGUGCGAGCGUUAAUCGGAAUUACUGGGCGUAAAGCGUGCGUAGGCGGUUGGCAAAGUCAGCUGUGAAAGCCCCGGGCUCAACCUGGGAAUGGCGGUUGAAACUAGUCGACUCGAAUCUGGCAGAGGGGGGUGGAAUUCCACGUGUAGCAGUGAAAUGCGUAGAGAUGUGGAGGAACACCGAUGGCGAAGGCAGCCCCCUGGGCUGAGAUUGACGCUCAGGCACGAAAGCGUGGGGAGCAAACAGG